GUUACCUGCAGCAGAAAGACCCGCAGCAGCGCGAAUUGUAAACUUCGGACGUGAGAGAUAACAGCUGCAGCCCUGCAAGGACUAGGCUACCUACUGCAAAGAGGCGAAGCAACAUAGAGAGAGUAAGGAAGAUGAAGAUUAUGAAAGAGGAGAGAGAGCCAGAGGUGGAGAGAGAGCCAGAGGUGGUGGUUGGAGAGGUGGAAAGUGAGGCAUCUGAAAGGCAAUCUGAGAGUGAGGAUGAAGACAUUCAGGAUCAGAUUGAGGGACAGAAUGAGGGACAACCCAACGAGUCACUGGGACAACCAGAUUCACCAUGCAUAUCAAGUACAGCACCAUCAGAUAUCAGCAAGUGCUUUGACGACACUCCAGUGCAGCCACGUCUGAAGAAAAGGUUCAUUGUAUGCAAAAAUAGAAGU
Neoarius graeffei (lesser salmon catfish) is the source of this 416-nucleotide long non-coding RNA. RefSeq lists it as uncharacterized. NCBI's taxonomy places the organism in Eukaryota, Metazoa, Chordata, Actinopteri, Siluriformes, Ariidae. The record is from RefSeq and is a predicted model, not a curated record. The transcript has 3 exons.